This 253-nucleotide ribosomal RNA is filed under the name uncultured bacterium. RNAcentral describes it as "partial 16S ribosomal RNA". It matches the Rfam family "Bacterial small subunit ribosomal RNA", at positions 524 to 776 of the family's 1533-position model. The record is from RNAcentral.
UACGGAGGGUGCAAGCGUUAUCCGGAUUUAUUGGGUUUAAAGGGUACGUAGGCGGUGGAGUAAGUCAGUGGUGAAAGCCAACAGCUCAACUGUUGAACUGCCAUUGAUACUGCUUCACUUGAGUGCAGUUGAGGUGGGUGGAAUUCCAUGUGUAACGGUGAAAUGCUUGGAUAUAUGGAGGAACACCGAUAACGAAGGUAACUCACUAAACUGUAACUGACGCUGAGGUACGAAAGCGUGGGGAGCAAACGGG